RNAcentral lists this ribosomal RNA (253 nucleotides) under uncultured bacterium. RNAcentral describes it as "partial 16S ribosomal RNA". It matches the Rfam family "Bacterial small subunit ribosomal RNA", at positions 524 to 776 of the family's 1533-position model. The record is from RNAcentral.
UACGGAGGGUGCAAGCGUUAUCCGGAUUCACUGGGUUUAAAGGGUGCGUAGGUGGGAAUGUAAGUCAGUGGUGAAAUCUCCGUGCUUAACAUGGAAACUGCCAUUGAUACUAUGUUUCUUGAAUCUUCUGGAGGUCAGCGGAAUAUGUCAUGUAGCGGUGAAAUGCUUAGAUAUGACAUAGAACACCAAUUGCGAAGGCAGCUGACUACAGGGAUAUUGACACUGAGGCACGAAAGCGUGGGGAUCAAACAGG